CCACCAGCUCCGAGUAAUCCACCUACGGUAGCACCGACUCCCGCUCCAACCCCUGCACCAACUCCAGCUCCAAUGUCAGCACCCACACGAUCACCACCAGCUCCAACUAAUCCACCCAUGCUAGCACCAGCUCCGACUCCGACUCGUGCACCGACACCAGCUCCGACGCCGGCACCGACUCCUUCUCCCACGCCUGUCCCGACCCCUUCUCCGACGCCAGCACCAACCCCUGCUCCGACACCGGCACGGACUCCUGCUCCCACGCCCGUCCCGACCCCUUCUCCGACGCCAGCACCAACCCCUGCUCCGACACCGGCACCGACUCCUGCUCCCACGCCCGUCCCGACCCUUUCUCCGACGCCAGCACCAACCCCUGCUUCGACACCGGCACCGACUCCUGCUUCAGCACCGGCACCGACUCCUGCUCCCACGCCCGUUCCAACUCCUGCUCCGACACCCAUCCCGACCCCUUCUCCAACGCCAGCACCAACCCCUGCUCCGGCACCGGCACUGACUCCUGCUCCCACACCCGUUCCGACUCCUGCUCCGACACCCGUCCCGACCCCUGCACCCACGCCGGCACCAACCCCUGCUCCGGCACCCACUCCGACUCCUGCUCCUGCUCCGACGCCGGUACCAACCCCUGCACCUACACCAGCAUCGAUAGUUGCUCCUACACAAGCACCAACCCCGACACCGACGCCCUCACCAAUACCUGCUCCGACUCCUGCUCCAACGUCCACAUUGACCCCUACUCCGACACCAGCUCCAGCUCCUGCACCAACCCCUGCACCGGUGCUGCCACCUUCAACGCCCAGACCACCACCACCACCCCAAGCUGUGUGUCCUGCCGGCUUCAGUAACCUAGAAGCGUUUAACUCUGCCGUUCUACCCUAUGCUUUACGCCGCACUAUUCUGCUUUUGGUAUCUAAGCCGAGCAUUGCUCUCUUCCCGCCCACCAUCAAAACAACAUGCCUUUGCUAUUUCUCAACUAGCACCACGAUCGGCAUCAUAACCGUUCCCAGUGUCAGAGGCCCCAUCGAAUGCGUGCCUGCCCGAACUGCUUGAGCAUAUGCAUGCAACGCACUUGCAGCGCAAAUGUGCACAUGUUGCGAAGCCAUUUCCUCAUACUUAUUUCCUAUUGAUCAGGCCACCUACUAUAUCAUACUAGUAUUUGAAUAAGUAGCGUGCAUGAAUGUGCGUCUGCAUGCCGAGAGACUGACUUGUGUGUUGAACCUGCGGUAAACAAAGAGUUGUUGUGUUGCUCGUGUAAUGAGUCAUAUGUAUUUGUAUGUGCAUGUGCUCAAAAUACAAAAUACUAUAUACAUAUUCUUGAAGCAUGCGUGUUAAAUGUUUUAUUAUUAUCGAGGAGUUUCUACUACUUUGUGGAAGUAGGCCUAUAUGGUCGUCUCACAAUUUUUAGAGCUACUACAGACGCAAUUAAAAUAUAUAGUAGUUUUAUAUUGUCUAUAACAUACCAUGCUGACUAAGCAAAAUAUAACAAUUUCAAGGGAAAUAUGUAGCAUGACAUAUCCAUCCAUGUCCCAAUAAAAUAACAUGAUAUAAUCACUUCUCUUCUUUUAAUUAAAACAUUGAAUUAGGGGUAGAGAGUGGAAAUAUUGCAAUAACUAUACAAAC
Molecule: long non-coding RNA, 1638 nt
Filed under: Setaria viridis
Lineage: Eukaryota; Viridiplantae; Streptophyta; Magnoliopsida; Poales; Poaceae
Description: long non-coding RNA (SVIR_LNC002485)
Source: RNAcentral